Non-coding RNA from Cinara cedri, 1364 nucleotides. The record is from the annotation of a GenBank genome assembly. Lineage: Eukaryota; Metazoa; Arthropoda; Insecta; Hemiptera; Aphididae.
CAUAUAAAAAAUGGGGAGGAUGGUGGUAGCCUGCACGUGGCCCUCCCUGCAUGCGCUUGUAGAUUUUCUGAAGACCCUUGUGUACAAAGACAGACUACAAGCGUAUCUAAUACUACCACCAAGGCGCUGAUACCCAGCAACAGACACAGUAAUAUGCAACCUUUAAACGGCUCUUUUCAGGGCCAUUCAACGCAGAUAUUAGAACCAUGCCUUAGGGCAUGUCACCUAAAUAUUGAAGGUAUUUCGUCAGCUAAGAGUGAAAUUCUAUCUAAACUUAUGAGAGAGGUACAAAUAUAUCCAUAUACUUAUUACUCUUUUUUAAAUAAUAACAUUAUGUUUAUUAUGUGACCUUGUUAUUUUAUAUCAAAACGAUUUGCAUCAUUUAAUACUAAAGUCUGUUUGUCAUAACUAAAUUAAUUAUUGGUAUAUUAAUCCUAGCUUUAGUUUUCUUGCAAUUAGUUGGAGAAGAACAAUAUUAUAUUCUAUAAAUUUCACUAUACAUGCAACUAAACCCUUAUAAACUUACUAUGAUUUUACUUAACUUAUUCAAUUAACUACUAACAUUGUAUUUAUUGUAUAACAUUACCACCAUACCAUACCAUAAUCAAAAAUAUCACAAUGAUUUUCAUUAUUCAAACUUAACUAUGUAUUAAAUUAAUAAAAUUGUAUUUAUUUUGUAACCUUACAUUUUAAAUCUAUCAAACUGAUUUAUUUAAUUUAUAAUAGAGUAAGAUUAUUUUAAAAUUAUAUUUCACUGUUAUAUAUGUUUAAAUGCAUAUUAUCAUUUUCUCUUUCUAUGUUCAGAAAUCUUUAAAAAUCCAAAUUCCAAAAGUUUAUGAAUACAAUCUAUAUUAACACAUUUAAAAAUGUUAUUAAGUAUUUUUUCAUAUUAUACAAUUACUAAUUAACAAUACCAGAGUUGAAAAAAAAGAUUAGAAUAUUUGUAUGUGUACUGUGUAAGAUAUUCUCUGGUUUUCAUAGAAGGGGUGAAUUUCAGUACAGUUUAAACUUAGUUUAGUCUAGGAAAAUCUCAUGCUUAGAAAAUAAUAAACUUCUAUCUCAAUAUCAUUUUGGUUUUCGACUUGAUACCUUUAAUGCUUUAUAUUCAACAACUACAUUUAUUUAUGGAAAAUGAGAUAAUAAUAAAAAGUCAUUGCAGUAUUUUUAGAUCUGACAAAAGCAUUUGUCACUGUAAACCAUAAAGUAUUAAUUAAUAUUUUGGUAGGUUUUGGAAUAAAUGUGGAAAGUUUGAGCUGGAUCACUUGUUAUCUGAGACACAGGACACAGUGUGCCUCAGUAAACAAUGUCUUAAGUAGUAAAAAACAAAUUGUUUGUAGUAUGCCACAAGGCAGUGUAUUGGAACC